AUUGAACGCUGGCGGCAGGCUUAACACAUGCAAGUCGAACGAAUGGCGGAGGGGUGGGUAGUGCUUGGGAACCUGGCUAAUGGAGGGAGAUAACGGCGGGAACCUGUAGCUAAUACCGCGUAACGUAGGAUGGGGCCACGUGGGAUUAGGUAGUUGGUGAGGUAACGGCUCACCAAGGCGACGCUGUCUAGCUGGUCUGAGAGGAUGACCGGCCACACUGGGACUGAGACACGGCCCAGACUCCUACGGGAGGCAGCAGUGGUGAAUAUUGGGCAAUGGGCGAAAGCCUGACCGAGCCACGCCGCGUGUAUGAAGAAGGUCUUAGGGUUGUAAAGUACUGUCAGUGGGGAGGCGGUACCCAAAGAAGAAGCACCGGCUAACUCCGUGCCAGCAGCCGCGGUAAUUC
RNAcentral lists this ribosomal RNA (406 nucleotides) under uncultured bacterium. Its description in RNAcentral is "partial 16S ribosomal RNA". It matches the Rfam family "Bacterial small subunit ribosomal RNA", at positions 29 to 526 of the family's 1533-position model. The record is from RNAcentral.